Molecule: ribosomal RNA, 509 nt
Filed under: uncultured bacterium
Lineage: Bacteria
Description: partial 16S ribosomal RNA
Rfam family: Bacterial small subunit ribosomal RNA
Source: RNAcentral
GACGAACGCUGGCGGCGUGCUUAACACAUGCAAGUCGAACGAAGAGCGACGGAAGCUUGCUUCUAUCACUCUUAGUGGCGAACGGGUGAGUAACGCGUAAUCAACCUGCCCUUCAGAGGGGGACAACAGUUGGAAACGACUGCUAAUACCGCAUACGAUCUAACCUCGGCAUCGAGGAUAGAUGAAAGGUGGCCUCUACAUGUAGCCAUCACUGAAGGAGGGGAGUGCGUCUGAUUAGCUAGUUGGAGGGGUAACGGCCCACCAAGGCGAUGAUCAGUAGCCGGUCUGAGAGGAUGAACGGCCACAUUGGGACUGAGACACGGCCCAGACUCCUACGGGAGGCAGCAGUGGGGAAUCUUCCGCAAUGGACGAAAGUCUGACGGAGCAACGCCGCGUGAGUGAUGACGGCCUUCGGGUUGUAAAGCUCUGUUAAUCGGGACGAAAGGCCUUCUUGCGAAUAGUGAGAAGGAUUGACGGUACCGGAAUAGAAAGCCACGGCUAACUACGUG